RNAcentral lists this ribosomal RNA (253 nucleotides) under uncultured bacterium. Its description in RNAcentral is "partial 16S ribosomal RNA". It matches the Rfam family "Bacterial small subunit ribosomal RNA", at positions 524 to 776 of the family's 1533-position model. The record is from RNAcentral.
UACGGAGGGUGCGAGCGUUAAUCGGAAUUACUGGGCGUAAAGCGCAUGCAGGCGGUUUGUUAAGCGAGAUGUGAAAGCCCCGGGCUCAACCUGGGAAAGUCAUUUCGAACUGGCAAACUAGAGUCUUGUAGAGGGGGGUAGAAUUUCAGGUGUAGCGGUGAAAUGCGUAGAGAUCUGAAGGAAUACCAGUGGCGAAGGCGGCCCCCUGGACAAAGACUGACGCUCAGAUGCGAAAGUGUGGGUAGCGAACAGG